UACGUAGGGUCCGAGCGUUGUCCGGAAUUAUUGGGCGUAAAGGGCUCGUAGGCGGUUUGUCGCGUCGUUCGUGAAAACUCACAGCUCAACUGUGAGCUUGCGGUCGAUACGGGCAGGCUAGAGUUCGGUAGGGGAGACUGGAAUUCCUGGUGUAGCGGUGAAAUGCGCAGAUAUCAGGAGGAACACCGGUGGCGAAGGCGGGUCUCUGGGCCGAUACUGACGCUGAGGAGCGAAAGCGUGGGGAGCGAACAGG
This 253-nucleotide ribosomal RNA is filed under the name uncultured bacterium. RNAcentral describes it as "partial 16S ribosomal RNA". It matches the Rfam family "Bacterial small subunit ribosomal RNA", at positions 524 to 776 of the family's 1533-position model. The record is from RNAcentral.